UCAAGCGAAUAAGUGCAUGUGGUGGAUGCCUUGGCGAUCACAGGCGAUGAAGGACGUAGUAGCUUGCGAAAAGCUGCGGGGAGCUGGCAAACGAGCUUUGAUCCGCAGAUGUCCGAAUGGGGAAACCCGGCCCGUAUGGGUCAUCCCUUGCUGAAUACAUAGGCAAGGGAGGCGAACGCAGUGAACUGAAACAUCUAAGUAGCUGCAGGAAAAGAAAUCAACCGAGAUUCCCAAAGUAGUGGCGAGCGAAAUGGGAACAGCCUUGUACUCUUUAGCAGUAUUGUUAGCGGAACGGAAUGGAAAGUCCGGCCAUAGUGGGUGAUAGCCCCGUACGCGAAAACAGUAUUGUGGAACUAGGUGUACGACAAGUAGGGCGGGACACGUGAAAUCCUGUCUGAAGAUGGGGGGACCAUCCUCCAAGGCUAAAUACUCGUGAUCGACCGAUAGUGAACCAGUACCGUGAGGGAAAGGCGAAAAGAACCCCGGGAGGGGAGUGAAAUAGAUCCUGAAACCGCAUGCAUACAAACAGUCGGAGCCUGGAAACGGGUGACGGCGUACCUUUUGUAUAAUGGGUCAGCGACUUACAUUCAGUGGCAAGCUUAACCGAUUAGGGAAGGCGUAGCGAAAGCGAGUCCGAAUAGGGCGUUCAGUCGCUGGGUGUAGACCCGAAACCAAGUGAUCUAUCCAUGGCCAGGUUGAAGGUGCGGUAACACGUACUGGAGGACCGAACCCACUAACGUUGAAAAGUUAGGGGAUGAGCUGUGGAUAGGGGUGAAAGGCUAAACAAACUUGGAAAUAGCUGGUUCUCUCCGAAAACUAUUUAGGUAGUGCCUCGUGUCUCACCUUCGGGGGUAGAGCACUGUCAUGGUUGGGGGGUCUAUUGCUGAUUACCCCGCCAUAGCAAACUCCGAAUACCGAAGAGUGCAAUCACGGGAGACAGACAUCGGGUGCUAACGUCCGGUGUCAAGAGGGAAACAACCCAGACCGCCAGCUAAGGUCCCUAAGAUUGGCUAAGUGGGAAACGAAGUGGGAAGGCUAAAACAGUCAGGAGGUUGGCUUAGAAGCAGCCACCCUUUAAAGAAAGCGUAAUAGCUCACUGAUCGAGUCGUCCUGCGCGGAAGAUGUAACGGGGCUAAGCCAGUCACCGAAGCUGCGGAUGCACGUAAGUGCAUGGUAGGAGAGCGUUCUGUAAGCCUGUGAAGGUGUCUUGUAAAGGAUGCUGGAGGUAUCAGAAGUGCGAAUGCUGACAUGAGUAGCGAUAAAGGGGGUGAAAGGCCCCCUCGCCGUAAGCCCAAGGUUUCCUACGCAACGUUCAUCGGCGUAGGGUGAGUCGGCCCCUAAGGCGAGGCAGAGAUGCGUAGCUGAUGGGAAGCAGGUUAAUAUUCCUGCACCGUCGUAUGAUGCGAUGGGGGGACGGAUCGCGGAAGGUUGUCCGGGUGUUGGAAGUCCCGGUCCCUACAUUGGAGAUGGCACUUAGGCAAAUCCGGGUGCGUGAUUCAAGGGUGUGGGGCGAGCGACGUUAGGUCGCGAAGCAAUUGGAAGUGGUUCCAAGAAAAGCCUCUAAGCUUCAGUCAUACGAGACCGUACCGCAAACCGACACAGGUGGGCGAGAUGAGUAUUCUAAGGCGCUUGAGAGAACUCGGGAGAAGGAACUCGGCAAAUUGGUACCGUAACUUCGGGAUAAGGUACGCCCUUGUAGUUUGACUGGCUCGCGCCAGAAGGAUGAAGGGGUUGCAAUAAAAUGGUGGCUGCGACUGUUUAAUAAAAACACAGCACUCUGCAAACACGAAAGUGGACGUAUAGGGUGUGACGCCUGCCCGGUGCCGGAAGAUUAAAUGAUGGGGUGCAAGCUCUUGAUUGAAGUCCCGGUAAACGGCGGCCGUAACUAUAACGGUCCUAAGGUAGCGAAAUUCCUUGUCGGGUAAGUUCCGACCUGCACGAAUGGCGUAACGAUGGCCACACUGUCUCCUCCCGAGACUCAGCGAAGUUGAAGUGUUUGUGAUGAUGCAAUCUCCUCGCGGCUAGACGGAAAGACCCCAUGAACCUUUACUGUAGCUUUGCAUUGGACUUUGAACCGAUCUGUGUAGGAUAGGUGGGAGGCUUUGAAACCGGGACGCUAGUUUCGGUGGAGCCGACCUUGAAAUACCACCCUGGUUUGUUUGAGGUUCUAACCUUGGCCCGUGAAUCCGGGUCGGGGACAGUGCAUGGUAGGCAGUUUGACUGGGGCGGUCUCCUCCCAAAGUGUAACGGAGGAGUUCGAAGGUACGCUUGGUACGGUCGGACAUCGUACCUAAAGUGCAAUGGCAAAAGCGUGCUUAACUGCGAGACCGACAAGUCGAGCAGGUGCGAAAGCAGGACAUAGUGAUCCGGUGGUUCUGUAUGGAAGGGCCAUCGCUCAACGGAUAAAAGGUACUCUGGGGAUAACAGGCUGAUACCGCCCAAGAGUUCAUAUCGACGGCGGUGUUUGGCACCUCGAUGUCGGCUCAUCUCAUCCUGGGGCUGUAGCCGGUCCCAAGGGUAUGGCUGUUCGCCAUUUAAAGAGGUACGUGAGCUGGGUUUAAAACGUCGUGAGACAGUUUGGUCCCUAUCUGCCGUGGGCGUUGGAAUCUUGACGGGGGCUGCUCCUAGUACGAGAGGACCGGAGUGGACGUACCGCUGGUGUACCUGUUGUCUCGCCAGAGGCAUCGCAGGGUAGCUAUGUACGGAAGAGAUAACCGCUGAAAGCAUCUAAGCGGGAAACUCGCCUGAAGAUGAGGAUUCCCUGGAGACUUGAUCUCCCUGAAGGGUCGUUCGAGACCAGGACGUUGAUAGGCUGGGUGUGGAAGCGCAGUAAUGCGUUCAGCUAACCAGUACUAAUUGCCCGUGCGGCUUGAUCC
RNAcentral lists this ribosomal RNA (2876 nucleotides) under Ralstonia solanacearum. RNAcentral's name for it is "23S ribosomal RNA". It matches the Rfam family "Bacterial large subunit ribosomal RNA". Lineage: Bacteria; Pseudomonadati; Pseudomonadota; Betaproteobacteria; Burkholderiales; Burkholderiaceae. The record is from RNAcentral.